AUGGGAAUUUAAACCCCUUUCAGAGUAACAAUUGGAGGGCAAGUCUGGUGCCAGCAGCCGCGGUAAUUCCAGCUCCAAUAGCGUAUAUUAAAGUUGUUGCAGUUAAAAAGCUCGUAGUUGGAUGUCUGCUGGAAGCAAUCAGUCCGCCCUAUUUGUAGGGUGUGCACUUGAUGAAUUCUGGCAUUUUUGUCCCAAUGAUGUAACGGGGCGGUGGUAUUCGGUGAAAGCCGAGUAUCCUGUUUUCCGAUUAUUGGGAUACUGUUACUUUGAGAAAAUUAGAGUGUUUGAAGCAGGCUAAUUGCCUUGAAUACUGCAGCAUGGAAUAACAAUAUAGGAUUUCGGUUCUAUUUUGUUGGUUUCUAGGACUGAAAUAAUGAUUAAUAGGGACAGUUGGGGGCAUUCGUAUUUAACUGUCAGAGGUGAAAUUCUUAGAUUUGUUAAAGACGAACUACUGC
This 455-nucleotide ribosomal RNA is filed under the name Sarcocystis sp. Its description in RNAcentral is "SSU rRNA". It matches the Rfam family "Eukaryotic small subunit ribosomal RNA", at positions 517 to 946 of the family's 1831-position model. The record is from RNAcentral. Lineage: Eukaryota; Apicomplexa; Conoidasida; Eucoccidiorida; Sarcocystidae.